AGGGAUUCUGGACCUUACACGUGUGCCCUGU
RNAcentral lists this non-coding RNA (31 nucleotides) under Homo sapiens (human). The record is from RNAcentral. Lineage: Eukaryota; Metazoa; Chordata; Mammalia; Primates; Hominidae.